This 400-nucleotide ribosomal RNA is filed under the name phytoplankton environmental sample. Its description in RNAcentral is "partial small subunit ribosomal RNA". It matches the Rfam family "Eukaryotic small subunit ribosomal RNA", at positions 587 to 990 of the family's 1831-position model. The record is from RNAcentral.
AGCUCCAAUAGCGUAUAUUAAAGUUGUUGCAGUUAAAAAGCUCGUAGUUGAAUAUCUGGUUUAAUGCGACUGGCCCGCCUCACUAGAGGUGAGCGCCGGUGGGCGUUUGCCAUCCUUCCAGAAAACUUGUCUCCUUCAUUGGACGACUCGCGAUCUGGAUCUUUUACUUUGAAAAAAUUAGAGUGUUUAAAGCAGGCCUUUGCCGUGAAUACAUUAGCAUGGAAUAAUAAUCUAGGACUUCGGUUCUAUUUUGUUGGUUUCUAGAAUUGAAGUAAUGAUUGAUAGGGAUAGUUGGGGGUGCUCGUAUUCAGCGGCCAGAGGUGAAAUUCUUGGAUUCGCUGAAGACGAACUUAUGCGAAAGCAUUCACCAAGGAUGUCUUCUUUAAUCAAGAACGAAAGU